AUCUACAGCCAUCUCACCUUGAAUGCACCCCAUCUCCUCUGAUCUCGGAGGCUAAACGGGGUCGGGCCUGGUUAGUACUGGGAUGGGAGAAUAUAUAUUUUAGUCUGUCCUUGUCUUAACUGUGAUUCCUCUAGGUA
RNAcentral lists this ribosomal RNA (137 nucleotides) under Neogale vison (American mink). Lineage: Eukaryota; Metazoa; Chordata; Mammalia; Carnivora; Mustelidae. The record is from RNAcentral.